Molecule: small RNA, 78 nt
Filed under: Flavobacterium sp. fv08
Lineage: Bacteria; Pseudomonadati; Bacteroidota; Flavobacteriia; Flavobacteriales; Flavobacteriaceae
Also listed under: 1 other name
Description: Flavo-1 RNA
Rfam family: Flavo-1 RNA
Source: RNAcentral
CCCUAGCCCCGAUAGAAGUGGAAAUCAUUUUGUGGCGAGGUUCAUCACAAAAGAUUGAAACGUAUAGCGGGAUUAGCU